RNAcentral lists this long non-coding RNA (779 nucleotides) under Dasypus novemcinctus (nine-banded armadillo). RNAcentral describes it as "lncRNA (ENSDNOG00000052820.1)". The record is from RNAcentral. Lineage: Eukaryota; Metazoa; Chordata; Mammalia; Cingulata; Dasypodidae.
CACUGGUUUUCUUUCUGUGUUGAAAGAUUUGCCUUUUCCAGGCAUGUUAUAUACAUGGACUCAUGCAGUAUGUGGUAUUUUGCAUCAGCCUCUUUCACAUAGCAUCAUGCUUUUGAGGUUCAUCCAUAAAUUGUAGCAUGUGUUAGUAUUUCAUUCCUUCUAAUUGCUGAAUGGUAUUCCUGCAUCUCAAUUUUUAGCUUGGUGUUUUGGCGUAGCGUGGACGCACAGACCCAUCUAAAGGACGUCACUUUGACUUAAGAAUUAACAACCACAUGUUAAGAGUUUGAAAAAGAAACAAGACCAAAGGCUAUUUUACGCAGGUGGACCUUGCAAGCGCGGGCUCCGACCGGGUCACCUGCAGGGCAACCGGGCCAGACCGCAGGCUCAGCCACCUCCCCGGGACCGACGAGAGGCAGCCCCGGCGGCGGGAUCGGAAAUCCUUUCCGCCGGCGUGGAGGCGGCAGCCGGGACUCCCCACCCGGGAGGGGGCGCCGGGGCGCGCAGGUGCAGCCGCGCCUCCUGCGGGGUGCGCCCCCGGCGGCCGCGGGCAGGUGGGGGUGGGGUCCCGGGUUGACGGGGCUGUCCUCUCGUGCGCUGCUCAGUCCAUUUGUCAAGGUCCCUCAUCAGAUAAAUAGCUGUCUCCGCAGACCUUUAUAGUGACUAAUGCAAAUAAAUCGCAGUCACUUUUACUGAGCGCUGGGGCGGGCGGCGGGGCUCUAAUGGCCCCGCGGCGCAGACCUCCGGGGAAGGGCCCAGCCCAGCGCGCCCAGCGCCCCGGG